CAGAUAUUAGUUUAUAUAAAAUAUUAAUUUUGGAGAUUAAUGAUAAAUGCUUAUAUUUAUAUCUGA
This 66-nucleotide transfer RNA is filed under the name Geinula sp. BMNH 846542. Its description in RNAcentral is "tRNA-Pro". The record is from RNAcentral. Lineage: Eukaryota; Metazoa; Arthropoda; Insecta; Coleoptera; Chrysomelidae.